This 751-nucleotide ribosomal RNA is filed under the name uncultured bacterium. Its description in RNAcentral is "bacterial SSU rRNA". It matches the Rfam family "Bacterial small subunit ribosomal RNA", at positions 57 to 819 of the family's 1533-position model. The record is from RNAcentral.
GCAAGUCGAACGAAGCUUUCGGGCUUAGUGGCGCACGGGUGCGUAACGCGUAUGCAAUUUACCUUUUACAGGGGGACAACACUAGGAAACUGGUGCUAAUACCGCGUAAUAAAUAGAGAGGCAUCUUUUUAUUUUAAAAGGAUUUCGGUAAGAGAUAAGCAUGCGUCCCAUUAGCUAGUUGGUAAGGUAACGGCUUACCAAGGCCACGAUGGGUAGGGGAACUGAGAGGUUUAUCCCCCACACUGGUACUGAGAUAUGGACCAGACUCCUACGGGAGGCAGCAGUAAGGAAUAUUGGGCAAUGGGCGAGAGCCUGACCCAGCCGUGCCGCGUGCAGGAUGACGCUCCUCGUUGGGUGUAAACUGCUUUUAUUAGGGAAGAACAAGUUUCUGCGGAGACAACUGACGGUACCUAAUGAAUAAGCACCGGCUAACUACGUGCCAGCAGCCGCGGUAAUACGUAGGGUGCAAGCGUUGUCCGGAUUUAUUGGGUUUAAAGGGUGUGUAGGCGGUCUAGUAAGUUUUGGGUGAAAGCCCACCGCUCAACGGUGGAACUGCCUGAGAUACUGCUAGACUUGAGUAUAGUUAAAGUUACUAGAAUUGGUGGUGUAGCGGUGAAAUGCAUAGAUACCACCAGGAAUACCAAUUGCGAAGGCAGGUAACUAGGCUAUAACUGACGCUGAGGCACGAAAGCAUGGGUAGCGAACAGGAUUAGAUACCCUGGUAGUCCAUGCUGUAAACAAUGAGGACUCG